This 253-nucleotide ribosomal RNA is filed under the name uncultured bacterium. RNAcentral's name for it is "partial 16S ribosomal RNA". It matches the Rfam family "Bacterial small subunit ribosomal RNA", at positions 524 to 776 of the family's 1533-position model. The record is from RNAcentral.
UACAGGGGGUGCAAGCGUUAUUCGGAAUUACUGGGCGUAAAGGGCUCGUAGGCGGCCAACUAAGUCAGACGUGAAAUCCCUCAGCUUAACUGGGGAACUGCGUCUGAUACUGGAUGGCUUGGAUUUGGGAGAGGGAUGCGGAAUUCCAGGUGUAGCGGUGAAAUGCGUAGAUAUCUGGAGGAACACCGGUGGCGAAGGCGGCAUCCUGGACCGGCAUUGACGCUGAGGAGCGAAAGCCAGGGGAGCAAACGGG